Non-coding RNA from Rattus norvegicus (Norway rat), 63 nucleotides. The record is from Rfam. NCBI's taxonomy places the organism in Eukaryota, Metazoa, Chordata, Mammalia, Rodentia, Muridae.
GGGGAUUUAGCUCAGUGGUAGAGCGCUUGCCUAGCAAGUGCAAGGCCUUGGGUUCAGUCCCCA